CAGUCGCCGCGGUAAUACGAAGGGGGCUAGCGUUGUUCGGAAUUACUGGGCGUAAAGCGCACGUAGGCGGACAUUUAAGUCAGGGGUGAAAGCCCGGAGCUCAACUCCGGAAUUGCCUUUAAGACUGCCGAGCUAGCAGGUGAGAGAGGUAAGUGGAAUUCCGAGUGUAGAGGUGAAAUUCGUAGAUAUUCGCAAGAACACCAGUGGCGAAGGCGGCUCACUGGCCCGAUACUGACGCUGAGGUGCGAAAGCGUGGGGAGCAAACAGGAUUAGAUACCCCUGUAGUCCCUGUCUCUUAUAC
Molecule: ribosomal RNA, 301 nt
Filed under: uncultured bacterium
Lineage: Bacteria
Description: partial 16S ribosomal RNA
Rfam family: Bacterial small subunit ribosomal RNA
Source: RNAcentral